UUGAUCACCAUGUCCCACUGAACAUGCUAGGUCUCCUCUGAUCUCAGAAGCUAAGCAAGGCAGAGUCUGGUUAGUACUAGAAUAGGAGGAGUUUUGUUUCAUAUCUGACAAUUGAUUUAU
Molecule: ribosomal RNA, 120 nt
Filed under: Meriones unguiculatus (Mongolian gerbil)
Lineage: Eukaryota; Metazoa; Chordata; Mammalia; Rodentia; Muridae
Source: RNAcentral